GGUGGUGUGUUGAUGAGAGUACUGAGAGAGUGAAGCAGGUGGUGUGUUGAUGAGAGUACUGAGAGAGUGAAGCAGGUGGUGUGUUGAUGAGAGUACUGAGAGAGUGAAGCAGGUGGUGUGUUGAUGAGAGUACUGAGAGAGUGAAGCAGGUGGUGUGUUGAUGAGAGUACUGAGAGAGUGAAGCAGGUGGUGUGUUGAUGAUAGUACUGAGAGCGUGAAGCAGGUGGUGUGUUGAUGAUAGUACUGAGAGCGUGAAGCAGGUGGUGUGUUGAUGAGAGUACUGAGAGCGUGAAGCAGGUGGUGUGUUGAUGAGAGUACUGAGAAAGUGUGAAGCAGGUGGUGUGUUGAUGAGAGUACUGAGAGAGUGAAGCAGGUGGUGUGUUGAUGAGAGUACUGAGAGUGAAGCAGGUGGUGUGUUGAUGAGAGUACUGAGAGAGUGAAGCAGGUGGUGUGUUGAUGAGAGUACUGAGAGAGUGAAGCAGGUGUGUGGUUGCGAAGACCCGCAUAAAAAAUUAAAAAAAAG
This is a long non-coding RNA of Oncorhynchus tshawytscha (Chinook salmon), 523 nucleotides long. NCBI's taxonomy places the organism in Eukaryota, Metazoa, Chordata, Actinopteri, Salmoniformes, Salmonidae. The record is from Ensembl.